RNAcentral lists this ribosomal RNA (253 nucleotides) under uncultured bacterium. RNAcentral describes it as "partial 16S ribosomal RNA". It matches the Rfam family "Bacterial small subunit ribosomal RNA", at positions 524 to 776 of the family's 1533-position model. The record is from RNAcentral.
UACGGAGGAUGCGAGCGUUAUCCGGAUUCAUUGGGUUUAAAGGGUGCGUAGGCGGUUUCUUAAGUCAGUGGUGAAAUUUUGUGGCUCAACCAUAAACGUGCCAUUGAAACUGAGAGACUUGAGUGCGGACGAGGCAGGCGGAAUGUGUUAUGUAGCGGUGAAAUGCAUAGAUAUAACACAGAACACCAAUAGCGAAGGCAGCUUGCCAGACCGUAACUGACGCUGAUGCACGAAAGCGUGGGUAGCGAACAGG